UCCAAUUAAAAUAUGUGUUUCAAGGUUUCCGAAUMUUYYUCAGUWAYCACKKGUUAMCUGSCCUGUGAUGGGGGWAURABMUCGGAAAAYGASAACHAUACCCCAUUUCCMCUACGMCUGSAASGGUGAGUGGAUGAAAGCCCCCGCCGCCRCAKGAUKSGCCURCCGUSUAAUCMGUUSUAGGGGGUGUAAAGUACCCUCUAGCCUUCGACGCGUACKGGUUGUGAGAGCAAUAGCCCGGAGAUGGAUUCUGAGACACGAAUCCAGGUCCUACGGGACGCAGCAGUCGCGAAACCUUGACAAUGCGGGAAACCGUGAUCAGGGGACUCCAAGUGCCAGGAGUAAGAUCCUGUGCUUUUCUUUUCUCUUCAAAGGAUUUGGAAUAAGAGGUGGGUAAGGACGGUGCCAGCCGCCGCGGUAAUACCGGCGCCUCGAGUGGUAGUCGAUUUUAUUGGGCCUAAAACGUCCGUCGCCGGUCUGGUGCAUUCGUGGGUAAAUCAACCCGCUCAACGGGUUGAAUUCUGCGAGCACGGCCAGACUAGGGACCGGGAGAGGUGUGGGGUACGCUCGGGGUAGGGGUAAAAUCCUGUCAUCCCGAGCGGACCACCUGUUGCGAAGGCUCCACACUAGAACGGAUCCGACGGUCAGGGACGAAGCCUAGGGGCACGAACCGGAUUAGAUACCCGGGUAGUCCUAGGUGUAAACGCUGUGGACUUGGUGUUGGGAGCUCCCAGAGGGCUCUCAGUGCCGUAGCGAAGGUGAUAAGUCCACUGCCUGGGGAGUACGGUCGCAAGGCUGAAACUUAAAGGAAUUGGCGGGGGAACACCGCAACCUGAGGAUUGUGCGGUUUAAUUGG
This 856-nucleotide ribosomal RNA is filed under the name uncultured archaeon. RNAcentral describes it as "partial 16S ribosomal RNA". It matches the Rfam family "Archaeal small subunit ribosomal RNA", at positions 39 to 909 of the family's 1478-position model. The record is from RNAcentral.